UGGGGAAUUUUGCGCAAUGGGGGAAACCCUGACGCAGCAACGCCGCGUGGAGGAUGAAGUACUUCGGUACGUAAACUCCUUUCGAUCGGGACGAUUAUGACGGUACCGGAAGAAGAAGCCCCGGCUAACUUCGUGCCAGCAGCCGCGGUAAUACGAGGGGGGCAAGCGUUGUUCGGAAUUAUUGGGCGUAAAGGGUGCGUAGGCGGUUUGGUAAGUCUUGUGUGAAAUCUCCGGGCUCAACUCGGAGUCUGCAUAGGAAACUGCCGGGCUUGAGUGUGGGAGAGGUGAGUGGAAUUUCCGGUGUAGCGGUGAAAUGCGUAGAUAUCGGAAGGAACACCUGUGGCGAAAGCGGCUCACUGGACCACAACUGACGCUGAUGCACGAAAGCUAGGGGAGCAAACAGGAUUAGAUACCCCCGUAGUCC
RNAcentral lists this ribosomal RNA (424 nucleotides) under uncultured bacterium. RNAcentral describes it as "bacterial SSU rRNA". It matches the Rfam family "Bacterial small subunit ribosomal RNA", at positions 355 to 796 of the family's 1533-position model. The record is from RNAcentral.